ACAAUAAAAUGUGUGUUUCUCUUACUAUGUUUAUAUUUAAUUAUAUUCUUUAGAAGUAUGCUGCAAGAGUAAAGCAUAUAUACUACAAGUAAAUGAAUAUUUGUUCAUUUGUUUUCAUUGUUCGAAUGUUUGUUCAUAGAUAGAUUGGUUUUGAAGACACCAAUACUAACAUAUCUAACCAUAAUGGUAUUUGACAAUAAUGCAUUUUAAGCUAUUGUCGCUUAUUCAUAAUCAAAAACCAUGAAUAUCUUUUAAUUAUUGCUAUAAAUAAUUGGCAAAUAAUUUAAUAAUGACAAAUAUAAAGUAAAAAUGGACAAAAGUGCAAUAGUUUUCGGAAUAUGAAAUGGACGUAGCCUAUAUUCGGUUAUGGAGGUAUUAGUUAAAAAGAAAGUCCUGUUUGUUCACUUACAUUCACUGAAAGGUCAAGACUAAAUAUUAAAACGUGUGUAACCAGUUAAUUUGUCAUAAAUAGUUUGCAAACCGACAUACACGCCUACUAAACGCAAGCUCGAACGUCUUCAUAUUAUCGGUGGUGCAAAUUAAAUGAGCUGGAAAUACUCCCACGGUGCAGCUCUGGCUUUUGUGUUUUGUACACAAGUAUUCAAAAGGAUGAUCCCUACUUGAUUUCAAACGUGGAUGUGCGUGUCUAUUCACCUUGCAGGAGAUUUGUUUGCUGCGUUACUGAUCGGUGAGCACUAAUCACUUCACUUUUGUUUCUGGAAACCGUUACGUAUAGCCGAGGAUAAUCAUCAAUGCUAGCUUUUCGCAAUUAUUUCACAGAAAAUUAACUGUCUUUAACGAGUUUUUCUAUUGACAAAACGUGUGCAAUUAUUUUAAUCGGAUGCAUACAGUUAUGUUUAUAUUGUAUAUAUACAGUGAUCAUUGUUCAUUCAUUCUUGCCUGAAGUAAGAGUUUUUAACAAGAAAAACAACAGCAAAACCAGCAACCUCGCAAUUAAUCUCAGUCUAUAUUUAACACACAAUAUCCUGUUCGUUUCUUUACGAAAUCGAUAUUUCCGAUUCAAU
Molecule: long non-coding RNA, 1025 nt
Organism: Mya arenaria
Lineage: Eukaryota; Metazoa; Mollusca; Bivalvia; Myida; Myidae
Exons: 3
Source: RefSeq, a predicted model, not a curated record